CCUUGGAGCUUUGGUCCUGUCAGGAUUAAUUUUGCCCUCCCCCUGGAGACCUCGUCCUUGAAGAAGAUUCACAUCAAAUGACCAGACUUUUUGGAAAAGUUAAGAAGGCAACACCUCAGAGGAUCGGGAGACAAGGCCUCACUCGCUCCACUAGGCCCCAAGAGACUGCAGAGCUUUGCAGGGGACAACUCUGGAAGAGAACACAGGUAAAAAGCCUGAGUCAGAGGAGGAUGAACUGGCCAGAACUGUUAUACCACCAGCUGAAGAACUGGCCUGGCUUAGCAGUAGUAAUGUAAUGUAAUUAG
This is a long non-coding RNA of Lacerta agilis (Sand lizard), 305 nucleotides long. RefSeq lists it as uncharacterized. The transcript has 2 exons. NCBI's taxonomy places the organism in Eukaryota, Metazoa, Chordata, Lepidosauria, Squamata, Lacertidae. The record is from RefSeq and is a predicted model, not a curated record.